GAAGGUUUUCCAGACCUUGCAAAGUUUACCCUCAGAAAUCCCAUCAAGAAAGUGGCUUGUAGAUUACAUGAUGGAGCUUGGGUUCUUCAAAUCACUUUCCCAGUGGGUUGGCAAUAACCUUAUGAAAUCUGGGGACCAUGAAACAUGGGCUUUUGAUCUCCAAGGUGCUGUUGAUAUGUUCAAUUCAUACAGGUUUCAGUUGGUGAUAUUGUGGUGACUCCAAUUUGAAUCAAUCAAUUUAUUCCAAUUUGUUCUUUUGAAGCUACUUCAGAAUUGAUGAAUUGAAGGAGAUGAUGAGAAGAUAAAGGAUGAACUAUUUUAAGUUUCUACUACUGGUGCUAGUGGUGACAGUUACUAAGAAGGCUGACCCCAAGGUGCUGGCUAACAAAGCUUCCAAGGCUGUCAAAGCUGGAGCAUCAACCAUUAAGAAGAAGGC
Molecule: long non-coding RNA, 436 nt
Organism: Papaver somniferum (opium poppy)
Lineage: Eukaryota; Viridiplantae; Streptophyta; Magnoliopsida; Ranunculales; Papaveraceae
Exons: 5
Source: RefSeq, a predicted model, not a curated record